RNAcentral lists this long non-coding RNA (355 nucleotides) under Homo sapiens (human). RNAcentral describes it as "HSALNT0226245". The record is from RNAcentral. Lineage: Eukaryota; Metazoa; Chordata; Mammalia; Primates; Hominidae.
GCUUUGGGGAAGAAUCUCUGUCCACAAAGAGGCUUCCUCCCAGACCCAGUCCUGAGGCUCAAGGGCGUCAUCGGCUUUGGGGGCCACGGCACCAGACAGGCCCUGUGGACCCCAGACGGGGCGGCUGUCGUGUACCCCUGCCAUGCGGUCAUCGUCGUCCUGCUCGUGGACACGGGGGAGCAGCGCUUCUUCCUUGGCCACACAGACAAGGUCUCCGCCCUGGCGCUGGAUGGCAGCAGCUCACUAUUGGCCUCGGCCCAGGCAAGGGCCCCUAGUGUGAUGCGGCUCUGGGACUUCCAGACCGGGCGGUGCUUGUGCCUGUUCCGGAGCCCAAUGCACGUUGUCUGCUCUCUCA